RNAcentral lists this ribosomal RNA (364 nucleotides) under uncultured bacterium. RNAcentral describes it as "bacterial SSU rRNA". It matches the Rfam family "Bacterial small subunit ribosomal RNA", at positions 772 to 1130 of the family's 1533-position model. The record is from RNAcentral.
ACUAAAUAGAUACCCGGGUAGUCCACGCCCUAAACGAUGUCUACUAGUUGUUGGUGGAGUAAAAUCCAUUAGUAAACGCAGCUAAACGCGUGAAGUAGAUCGCCUGGGGAGUACGGUCGCAAGAUUAAAACUCAAAGGAUUGACGGGGGCCCGCACAAGCGGUGGAUUAUGUGGAUUAAUUCGAUGCAACGCGAAAAACCUUACCUGGCCUUGACAUGCCACUAACGAAGCAGAGAUGCAUUAGGUGCCCGAAAGGGAAAGUGGACACAGGUGCUGCAUGGCUGUCGUCAGUUCGUGUCGUGAGAUGUUGGGUUAAGUCCCGCAACGAGCGCAAACCCUUGCCAAUAAUUGCCAUCAUUUAGUU